This 468-nucleotide ribosomal RNA is filed under the name uncultured bacterium. RNAcentral's name for it is "bacterial SSU rRNA". It matches the Rfam family "Bacterial small subunit ribosomal RNA", at positions 330 to 794 of the family's 1533-position model. The record is from RNAcentral.
CCCAGACUCCUACGGGAGGCAGCAGUGAGGAAUAUUGGUCAAUGGGCGGGAGCCUGAACCAGCCAAGUCGCGUGAGGGAAGACGGUCCUACGGAUUGUAAACCUCUUUUGCCGGGGAGCAACGGGGUCCUUGCGAGGGCCCAAUGAGAGUACCCGGAGAAAAAGCAUCGGCUAACUCCGUGCCAGCAGCCGCGGUAAUACGGAGGAUGCGAGCGUUAUCCGGAUUUACUGGGUGUAAAGGGCGUGUAGGCGGGAAAGCAAGUCAGAUGUGAAAACCAUGGGCUCAACCUGUGGCCUGCAUUUGAAACUGUUUUUCUUGAGUACUGGAGAGGCAGACGGAAUUCCUAGUGUAGCGGUGAAAUGCGUAGAUAUUAGGAGGAACACCAGUGGCGAAGGCGGUCUGCUGGACAGCAACUGACGCUGAGGCGCGAAAGCGUGGGGAGCAAACAGGAUUAGAUACCCUCGUAAA